This 253-nucleotide ribosomal RNA is filed under the name uncultured bacterium. RNAcentral's name for it is "partial 16S ribosomal RNA". It matches the Rfam family "Bacterial small subunit ribosomal RNA", at positions 524 to 776 of the family's 1533-position model. The record is from RNAcentral.
UACGGGGGGGGCAAGCGUUGUUCGGAAUUACUGGGCGUAAAGGGUUCGCAGGUGGCCUACUAAGUCAGACGUGAAAUCCCUCAGCUUAACUGGGGAACUGCGUCUGAUACUGGGGGGCUUGAGUGCAGGAGAGGAACGCGGAAUUCCAGGUGUAGCGGUGAAAUGCGUAGAUAUCUGGAGGAACACCGGUGGCGAAGGCGGCGUUCUGGACUGCAACUGACACUGAUGAACGAAAGCAAGGGGAGCAAACGGG